GGUCUCUCUCAAAAAUAAAUAAACAUUAAAAGAAAAACAACCCAACAGAACUUUCAGGAGGCGUUCCUGCGAUAGUAACUGGAAGAGGGGAACAAUUCUUGGGCACCCCCCACUCCAGGCCCUCUCUGCCCCCACUCCCUGAGCAAGCUGGCCGCCCAGCGGGGCCCAGCAGGUCUGAGAAGGGGUCUCAGGAGCAUGGCCCUGGGUAUGUCGGGGCCUCCAGCACCCUCCAGGUACAAGUGAUUCUUACGGAUUUCAGAGACAGGCUUGAGUCCAAAGCCUUACAGAAAUUAGAGCCCCUUUUUUGUUUGCCUGUGUUUAGACUUAGUAACUUAAUUUGGCCAGUCUGUGGAGGAAAAGGUGAUGGUCUUUCUUUUCUAGGAGUUGGAUUACACAUCUGCCGAUUUGAUAACUGCAUCUUCAAGGUCACGCACACAAAGCUCCCAGAGGCUCUAGGAACUGUGAAUUAUGAAAUAGCACAUACAUGCCUGGGGGGAGGUGGGCCUCACCGGGGACGUGGGCACGUCACACCCAACAGAUGCCCUUUUGGCCGUAGGCACCUGAGCAGGUUGGUGGACAGAUGACCAGUGUUUCCUCCUUUUGAAGAAGGAAAGUCUGAAGGUCAUGGACGUACCUCCAGCAGGACCCACUCAGUGGGUGGUUCCAAAUAGCUGGUCUGACGCGACAGAGUUAUUCUUUCCGAGCUAUUCCGUUAUGUGGUUCUCACAUUUAUUGAGCACUGACUGUUUGCAGUCUUAUGCUUGGUGCUGGACACAUAAAGGUGAGGGUGAUCUGGUCUGUCCUGUGGAGGGUUUGCCGUCCAGCCACGGAGACAAGUAGAUUAAGCCACCGGUUACGAUACCACGUGUCAGUGUUGGGUCAUGGUGGUUUGCAAACCAGGAAGGCGUGGAUUCAUCCGUCUCCCGGCACCUGCUCGUGACUUCUCUUGAGCGGAUCUGAAUGCAGUGAGGGCUCUGCCCUGCGAGGCUGUGCAUGGGGCCGAGGAGGGUGAGGCGGCUGGAGGGAGCAGGGGGAGACCGGGAGCUAAAGACAGCUGGACGUCCAUACGUACACAUUCUCAAACACAACGUAGUGUCCUGCAAAGCUACCCUGUCAGGGCAGGACAGAAGCAAAACUUGACCCAAAGUCACAUUGUCUGGAAAGACUUGAUAAGUGAGCCUGUAAGGAAUGUUCUGGAACAUCUCAGCUCCAAAAAACAAAAUAAUAAAAUGUGUUUGUUCAGGUCUUGCUCAAGAGAAGCUGGAAGCCUGUGAUUCAUCUCCUGGUCUGCUGUCCCUGUCCCCCAACCUAGCCCGGGAACGGGGACUGUGUCGUGCACGGGCUCAAAGCCGUGUUGGUGACUCUGUCUCAGCUCGCUGAUCCAUAUUUGCUGAAGAAAACCAGGAUGGUUCACUUGCAGUUCUGCAUCUUGCGGAGACACGGCCCGUGUCUUGGGGAAGUUAGCAACCUGUCUGGGAGACACCGGGCACAAAGCAGGCAGAGCCCAGGCCCAGGGUGGGGCGGUGAGGGGUGGGGACCAUCUUCCCCAGUUACGAGACCCCAAAGAGGAAUCAGAGACCAAGGUGGGCACCUUGGGGGGGUGGCGGCCGUCAUCUGUCAAGGGGAACAGCCACUUGGGGAACACGAUGGCCCAGACACUUGGUCUGGGACCAAGUCCAAAAAAUGGAAACCAGAGUUGCCUAAAAGUCCCACCUUGCCUGCUGCUGUGGUUAUCUUAAUUGCACACACAGUGUCUCUCUUCAGUCCCACGUUCUCGGAGCUGAAGAUGUGCGAUAUAGUUACCAAGUGUCUUUGUUUUGCAAAAGAAUGGGGAAAAUGUGAGGAUGCCGGCAAAGGAGCUGGCCCCGGACCCCCGUGCUGCUACAAGACGCUGACAUUUCGCGAUGAUUUGUGUCGCGGUUGGACAGCAGCCCGCUGACUUUCUCCCUGUUGGACGCUGGUCCGCACCAGCCCUGGCCCGGUCCUUCUCCGGCUGCCAGCAGGUAUUUUUGUUUUUAGGACAUAAAUCCCGGCCCUUUCCUCGUCUUCUGGAGCAGAGACAUCUCUCCCCUGGAGAUCGAGGUGAACAUCCCCUGGGUGCCAGCUGUGAUUCAGGCAGGAGACGUGCCUGUGCUGGCCCCCGGCCCCCGAGCCCCCCCGGGAGCAAGCGAGGCUGCAUGAGUGGGGUUCUGUGUCCUCGUCUGUCUGUCUCUACCACACUGGAGAUACCCUCCCCAUGCCCCCCCGCUGUGGAGCCCCUGCAGUCAGCUAGGCUCUAUCAGCGACUUCGGGUAGAAUGCACGAAGGAACAAAAAUAAAUAAAGUCAGACGGGGGAGAGGCGGAGCUCACGCAGCCUGGGUGGAUUUACUUUCUCUUACUACCAGAAGACUCAGGAAACAAUGCAGAAAAUAUGAAAUACAUCCAUUGGCUCUCCCGCCUCUUAAAUGGUUUGACCUAAGCGGGCAAAUCCUGGCUGGGGACAGGGGACAUCUGGAGGACAUCACUGUCUCAGGCCACAGUGGACCCGGCUCUUUGCUCUGGAGUGGGCAAGGCGGACGCUUGGCCGUUCAAGGAGCCCAGAUGACAGAUAAGAGGGACGAACCCAGCUGCGGGUCCUCCCGAGAAGGCCACUUCAGUGUGACCCCCUGGGAGAGGCUCCUUGCUGUUCUUCCGACAGCUUCCUCCGUGGGGGGAAAUGGAUUUGGCCAAAAGAACAGAGAAGAGAAAAUUAAGUCUGUGUGAUGGCGGCCCAGCACUCUGAGAAGGGGCUCGUCCCCAGCGCUUUAUUUUUCCUACGGCCGGCAUCUGUCGUUUGCUAGAAACCGCAGAAUUGCACGUCACCUUGAAGCAGGGAUUGGCUUCCCCCGAGCUGGACGUCCAGCAACAGAUGGGAGCCAAGAAAGCGCUGUGAACUUUAGCUGCCUGACCAGGGUCACAGGAAUGCCGUAGAUCGAGCCAAACAAAUCCCCAUGCCGGGGGCCACGGGCCUCUGUGCAUGUCUCCCCUGUCCCCACGCAUCGAAGCCACAGGUGAACAGAUGGAAAGACCACCUCACAGAUCCUUGGCCGAGACCUCUGGACCAGCGCCGCUCAGGCCCCGACGAAGGCUGACUGCGGGAGACUCGGGUGCAACAGAAAACGCUGUCCUGCGGGGCCGAGGCCCAAGUGGAAUCGGGGCACCUCCACGUCUGUCACUUCUGACACCUGUGCAACCUCAAGGGGCCCAGCUCUGCUCCCGGCACAGCGUCCAGACACGGGGACAGCAGCGGCUUGGAUAGAGGACCCCGGGCCGCACACCUCCUCCCCCGAGACGGUCCCUGCUGGUGACAUGGUCAUUAUUGUCCUUGCCACUGUUUGGAUUUUCCUUCUGGGUUUUUUUUUUUUUUUUUUUUUUGGCGGGGAGGGGGGUUUGUUCUUUCUGAAAAUCUCUAGAUUCAGGAACGUAUUUACGAGGAUUUAAAUUUUGGAUUUGUAUUUCCCUCUAAGUGCCUUUUUAAUGUAUAUUUUUUUAAUAAAACAGAAAUGCAUUCCUGUACAACUCUGUUUAAACUGGACCAAGGCUCUCAGACAAAGAACCUCGCAUGCCCCCCCCCCCCCCCCCCCCCCCCCCAGCCUCUGCAUGAUCGUUCCAAGCAAGCCUGGACUCCUUCUCACCCCUUGCCUCUCUCUCUCUCUCUCGUGAUUUGCUCAGCUAACCAUUUUUUAAAAUAUUUUCUGUUUCAGUGUAUAUGUUGCUUAUUUGUUUUAUUUAUUGAGAUGUUUUUAACAAGCUCGGUGACUGCAACGUGGCUGUGUACCCUGCCCCCUCCCAGGAAUAAUAAAGAUGUCCCUGCAGCCCGG
This is a long non-coding RNA of Herpailurus yagouaroundi (jaguarundi), 3840 nucleotides long. RefSeq lists it as uncharacterized. The transcript has 2 exons. The record is from RefSeq and is a predicted model, not a curated record. NCBI's taxonomy places the organism in Eukaryota, Metazoa, Chordata, Mammalia, Carnivora, Felidae.